This 1713-nucleotide long non-coding RNA is filed under the name Olea europaea subsp. europaea. The record is from RNAcentral. Lineage: Eukaryota; Viridiplantae; Streptophyta; Magnoliopsida; Lamiales; Oleaceae.
GCCCAUUGUUAAAUUCUUGAAUGAAAACAAUAUGAAAGGCUUCGUCAUUGAAGCAAGAAAACAAUACUGAAUUGAACUCCAUAAAAGGAGGAAAGCAAUACAAAGGAACCGGAAUGAGUUCCAUAUAAAAGACACUCCAUUGUAAGAGGAAGAUAACAUCCAUGGAAGGGAGGGAGAGGGAUUGGAAGAAGAAAUUCUCCAAUGAAUUACAAAGUGUAUACCAUCCUGUAUUUAUAGAAGAAAGACCAACUAACUACCUAACAACUAAUCUACUAACUAAACUAAACUAACUAACACAGCUGUGGACAACUAGAGACAGCUAGGAUCAUCCGUGUGAAGUCUGGAGAGUGAAUCUGAUCAAUUGGAAUUAAGAUCUCUGGGAUUAAGAAUCUGGAAGUUAAGUUGGAAGAAAUUUGGUGCAUAUUUGCUGGUUCUGAUACACCCCCCUCAAGAUGGACUUGGAAGAUCAAUUACUAUAGUCCAUCUUGAAGAUUAAAGAUGACAAGAAUUCUAAUAUAGAUCAAUUGGAAUAAGAUCCUGAAUUCAUAAUGCUGUUGCCAGCACUCCAGACCCAGAAAUAAUAAAGAAGAGCUUUGUUGUACAUUUUAUCAAACACCUUGUGUGUAGCUUCAGUUACUAAAGAGAAUAGUGAAAAAGGAUGUAGUAAAGACUCCACAAGAAAUGUCUUCGUUGAUGCAGCAGGACAACCGAACAAAGCGGCACAAAAGUUGAACAUAUUAAAACUGAGUUCUGUGACAGAAGUGAGGAGAAUUCCUCCAACGAUGGGAACAAGAGAAACACAAAAUCAGGGCACAAAACCAGGUAAUGUAGAUUGUUUUAUCUCCGACAAUGCCUGCAAGGAAUUCGCCAUGCUCUGACGAGCACUCGAUGAAGUGAAUACCCAAUUGCAGACCAAGUUCAGCCAGGAACUAAAAACUAAUGACUGGGAGUACUACAGAAAAGGGAUUGACUUUUGCUUGCUUGAUUCGUAUAACCAAUCAUAUGAUGAAGUCUUGAAGAUUGAAAAACAAAGAAAAGGGAAUUGAAUUCCUCCAGACCAACAGAGACUAAUUUCUGCUGGGUAACAACUUGAGAGUGGCCGGAUUUGCAGCCAUGGAUGGAAAUACAUCAGCAAAAUCUUGAAGAACUGGAAUGCAACCUGUACGUCCAGUUGUUUGCAAGAAUAAGAAUUGAAGAAUCUUUAGAAAAUGAAGAAUGAUUCCAGUAGAAAGCUAGAAAAUGAAAAACAGCAGCAAGAAGCUUAUCUUUGCUCUGAUACCAUGUUAAAUUCUUGAAUGAAAACAAUAUGAAAGGCUUCGUCAUUGAAGCAAGAAAACAAUACUGAAUUGAACUCCAUAAAAGGAGGAAAGAAAUACAAAGGAACCGGAAUGAGUUCCAUAUAAAAGACACUCCAUUGUAAGAGGAAGAUAACAUCCAUGGAAGGGAGGGAGAGGGAUUGGAAGAAGAAAUUCUCCAAUGAAUUACAAAGUGUAUACCAUCCUGUAUUUAUAGAAGAAAGACCAACUAACUACCUAACAACUAAUCUACUAACUAAACUAAACUAACUAACACAGCUGUGGACAACUAGAGACAGCUAGGAUCAUCCGUGUGAAGUCUGGAGAGUGAAUCUGAUCAACUGGAAUUAAGAUCUCUGGGAUUAAGAAUCUGGAAGUUGAGUUGGAAGAAAUUUGGUGCAUAUUUGCUGGUUCUGAU